GAUGAACGCUGGCGGCGUGCUUAACACAUGCAAGUCGAACGGUAUCCAAGGGUUGCUUGCACUUUUUGGUGGGAGUGGCGAACGGUUGAGUAACACGUGAGUAACCUUUCCUUUUCUUUGGGAUAAGCAUUCGAAAGGGUGUUUAAUACCUUAUGUUCUGUCUGCCUCGCAUGGGGUGGGUUGUAAAGGCUUUGGCCUUAUUUGGGUGGGCUCUCGGUCUAUCAGCUUGUUGGUGUGGUGAUGUCUUACAACGGCUUUGACGGGUAGCCGGCCUGAGAGGGUGGUGGGACACAGUGGGACUGCGAUCUGGUCCAGACGGCUGCGGGAGGCAGUAGUGGGGGAUAUUGCACAAUGGGAGAAAGCAUGAUGCAGUGAGGCAGCGUGGGGGAUGGAGGCCUUAGGGUUGUAAACUUCUUUUGCUAUGAACAAGGCAUGACAGUGGGUGUGUUGAGUGUAGGGGUGGAUUAGCGCCGGCUAACUACGUG
RNAcentral lists this ribosomal RNA (485 nucleotides) under uncultured bacterium. RNAcentral's name for it is "partial 16S ribosomal RNA". It matches the Rfam family "Bacterial small subunit ribosomal RNA", at positions 28 to 507 of the family's 1533-position model. The record is from RNAcentral.